Molecule: unclassified non-coding RNA, 496 nt
Filed under: Apis dorsata (giant honeybee)
Lineage: Eukaryota; Metazoa; Arthropoda; Insecta; Hymenoptera; Apidae
Description: uncharacterized LOC102671145, transcript variant X1
Source: RNAcentral
CUAUCACUCUCGACUCUCUGUCGAUACACGUAUGGACAAAAGAGGGGACGGCAUCUUUCAAAUCGCCACGGCAACGUUCAUCACGAGAUAAGAAGAAUCGCGGGAAGGAAAAUCGAGACGAGGGAGCGAGGGGCACCUAGCCCUUUGGCGAGCUCGAAGGAUGCAGCUCCCAGGCGGGAGCACUAGAAUUCCGCCCGCGAGAGCACCGGCCUCAGUUCUCGUGAUUAUAAACGGAAGCAACAUCGUAUCGAAGACUGUGACGAAGAAACGUAACGGAAAGUGUAGCAACAGUAGCGAAAACGGCGGACCCGGUACGAGCAGCGAUAGAUACAUAAAAAGGAAUAACGAUAGGAAUAACGAUCCAGAGAACGUGCCGCGUCUCCUGAUAAGAAAUCGCCAUCCCGAGACGAGGACGAGCCGCCGACAAGCCCGAGUCACCGAGAAGCCCCAGCUGUUGGCGUCAGCCCCAAGGCGGAAGGAUCGGGGCGAGGAAUAG